GCAUCAGUGGUUUAGUGGUAAAAUCCAUCGUUGCCAUCCUGUCCUUGAUCUGGACACCCAUAGGUCGAUGGGCCCCGCGUUCGAUUCGCGGCUGAUGCA
Non-coding RNA from Taxawa tesnikishii (nom. ined.), 99 nucleotides. Lineage: Eukaryota; Fungi; Ascomycota; Dothideomycetes; Dothideales. The record is from the annotation of a GenBank genome assembly.